UUGUGUUUUGUGCUCUUAGGGGUGUGUUUGGGAAUUAUGUUUCUAUAAAAAGUAUGCCGUUCUCAGGUUAACACACACACACACAUACAAACACACACGAAAACACUCUGACUUAUCACCUGUUGACAGUAAGGCUAAACUCACCAACAUGGACUUUGGCAAGGGCGGCAUUGAUGGACAGGUCAAUAAGGUCAUCGAUCAGGCAGCUGGGGUUGCCAAAAAGAAAAUUGGCGAGGCGAUUGGAGGAGAUAAAAACAAGGACAAGAAACAGGCGGGAGGUAUUGGCGAUAUGGUGAGCGGUGCGAUUGGCAAAGCAGCAGCUGACAGCGCAGCAGAUCAGGCACUCAAUUUUGGGAAGAGCCUGAUGAAAUGAUUUGCAUUCAUUUGUUGCAUCUUUUCUAAUGCAAUUCCUCACAAAGAAAAUUUAUCCUUCAGUCCCGUACACACACACCUGUAACCCGGAACACACAUCAUCUCUGUAAUACUUUCGCUAUCUAAACCAGACAUAAACAAACAAAUCCUGCUUCUGUUGUAAUGG
Ictalurus furcatus (blue catfish) is the source of this 538-nucleotide long non-coding RNA. RefSeq lists it as uncharacterized. The record is from RefSeq and is a predicted model, not a curated record. The transcript has 3 exons. NCBI's taxonomy places the organism in Eukaryota, Metazoa, Chordata, Actinopteri, Siluriformes, Ictaluridae.